Molecule: ribosomal RNA, 370 nt
Filed under: Leocarpus fragilis
Lineage: Eukaryota; Evosea; Eumycetozoa; Physariida; Physaraceae
Description: SSU rRNA
Rfam family: Eukaryotic small subunit ribosomal RNA
Source: RNAcentral
UCUCUCUGAAUCUGCGAACGGCUCCGCAAAACAGUUGUAAACUAUAGCAAGCACGCUUAUCAGGUCGCAAGGCUUGGUAGGCUACAUGGAUAACCCUGGUAAUUCUGAGGCUAAUACAAGAACGUACCACCUGUCUAACCGGGCAACUGGAAGGGCGGGGGGCGUGCAACACGGCGCAAAAAAUACUGGGAAUCGGUGCACGCUCAGACCAUCAUAAAAACGGUUGAACUGGGCUCCGGCUCGGGUCUUCUGGGUGGCUCUUGCGAUGUGCUUCUGACCUAUCAACUAGAUGGCAGCAUAAGGGACAUGCUAUGGUUACAACGGGUACAGAGGAUAAGGGUUCGAUCCUGGAGAGUGGGCCUGAGAGAUU